CCUACGGGAGGCAGCAGUAGGGAAUAUUGCUCAAUGGGGGAAACCCUGAAGCAGCAACGCCGCGUGGAGGAUGAAGGUUUUCGGAUUGUAAACUCCUUUUGUUAGAGAAGAUAAUGACGGUAUCUAACGAAUAAGCACCGGCUAACUCCGUGCCAGCAGCCGCGGUAAUACGUAGGGUGCGAGCGUUACUCGGAAUCACUGGGCGUAAAGAGCGCGGAGGCGGGAUAGAAAGUCAGAUGUGAAAUCCUAGGGCUUAACCCUAGAACUGCAUUUGAAACUGUUAUUCUAGAGGAUGGGAGAGGUAGGUGGAAUUUUUGGGGUAGGGGUAAAAUCCGUAGAGAUUAAGAAGAACACUCAUUGCGAAGGCGAGCUGCUAGAACAUAACUGACGCUGAUGCGCGAAAGCGUGGGGAGCAAACAGGAUUAGAUACCCCAGUAGUC
This 440-nucleotide ribosomal RNA is filed under the name uncultured bacterium. RNAcentral's name for it is "partial 16S ribosomal RNA". It matches the Rfam family "Bacterial small subunit ribosomal RNA", at positions 338 to 795 of the family's 1533-position model. The record is from RNAcentral.